GGAUAACGUAGCGAAAGUUACGCUAAUACCGCAUACGAUCUAAGGAUGAAAGUGGGGGAUCGCAAGACCUCAUGCUCCUGGAGCGGCCGAUAUCUGAUUAGCUAGUUGGUGGGGUAAAGGCCUACCAAGGCAUCGAUCAGUAGCUGGUCUGAGAGGACGACCAGCCACACUGGAACUGAGACACGGUCCAGACUCCUACGGGAGGCAGCAGUGGGGAAUUUUGGACAAUGGGCGAAAGCCUGAUCCAGCAAUGCCGCGUGAGUGAAGAAGGCCUUCGGGUUGUAAAGCUCUUUUGUCAGGGAAGAAACGGUGAGAGCUAAUAUCUCUUGCUAAUGACGGUACCUGAAGAAUAAGCACCGGCUAACUACGUGCCAGCAGCCGCGGUAAUACGUAGGGUGCAAGCGUUAAUCGGAAUUACUGGGCGUAAAGCGUGCGCAGGCGGUUUUGUAAGUCUGUCGUGAAAUCCCCCGGGCUCAACCUGGGAAUUGCGAUGGAGACUGCAAGGCUAGAAUCUGGC
RNAcentral lists this ribosomal RNA (517 nucleotides) under uncultured bacterium. RNAcentral describes it as "bacterial SSU rRNA". It matches the Rfam family "Bacterial small subunit ribosomal RNA", at positions 141 to 652 of the family's 1533-position model. The record is from RNAcentral.